This is a long non-coding RNA of Saccostrea echinata, 233 nucleotides long. RefSeq lists it as uncharacterized. The record is from RefSeq and is a predicted model, not a curated record. NCBI's taxonomy places the organism in Eukaryota, Metazoa, Mollusca, Bivalvia, Ostreida, Ostreidae. The transcript has 3 exons.
GUCAGUCUUUUGGAUAACAAAAAUAGCACUAUCGUCUCUGAAAGGAGGGUGACAGAUCCUGAAAAUCCAACAAUGCUUUCAAUACGGUUACUAAUGCCCUCUACUUUAAACUCUAAGCAGUACGCCAUUAAAGUUCAAGGAGAGGGGGGCAUUAAUUUUAGUAACUACACAAAAGUAUAUUUUUAUCCUAAAAACUCCUCUUUGAUCAUCAAAACUGAUAAAAACAUCUACAA